ACGAUACAGAGCUUGAUAAGGAUUUUGUUGAUGUCAUGCUAGCUCUGAAGAACAAUCCUACAAGUACUCACCAGCAAUUAGCGCAGAUCAUCGAUAGAUCAAUUACCAAAGCCAUUAUCUUGGAUAUGAUUUUCGGAGCCAUUGAUACCUCCCACACCGCGAUAGAAUGGAUCAUGUCAGAACUCCUCCGACAUCCAAAAGUGAUGAAACGACUUCAAGAAGAAAUUAGUGUCAUAGUAGAUGGCGAACUUGUGGAAGAAUCACAUCUGGAUAAACUUGAGUACCUAGACAUGGUGGUCAAGGAAGCCUUGAGACUUCAUCCGGUGGGACCCCUGUUAGUUCCUCAUGAGUCGAUGGAGGACAUUGUGAUCGAUGGAUAUUACAUAGAGAAGAAUUCGCGUGUGAUCAUUAAUGGUUGGGGCAUUGGACGAGAUCCAAGGAUUUGGUCUGAAAAUGUGGAAGAAUUCAUUCCUGAGAGAUUUGCGGGUACUGACAUAGAUCUCCGGGGGAAAAGUUUUCAGCUUAUACCAUUUGGUUCAGGCCGGAGAGGCUGUCCAGGUAUACACUUGGGACUAAUAAACAUCAAAUUGGUGGUUGCUCAGUUAGUACACAGCUUCGAUUGGGAGCUACCUUUGGGGAUUUCACCGGACGAGUUAAAUAUGGAUGAAACAUUCGGUUUGUCAUUGCCAAGGGCAGAGCAUCUCCUGGCCAUACCCAAAUUUAGGAAAAGUUGAAUUCCACAUUCAUGGUGGUAUGUGUGAUUGUCCUGUGUAACUUUAAGCAGAAUGAGUAGCUACCCUCUUGUGAGGAGUUGUUUUGAUAAAUUGUUAUGUGCGGACUGCAGUGUUUUAUCAACUCCCUCCCUUCUUAAUUAUCAAUCGCAUCUGUUUUUAAUUUUAAAAUUUAAAAUAUCAAACUGAUCGAUAUUUGAUUAAAUAUUAAAAUUAUUUAUUUAUUAUAUUAAUAAAUUAAAAAAUAUAUAAAUAGAUUUUUUUUUUUUUUGAGCCAGAGUCGAACCCAGGACCUGGGCCAACAGAGGAUAAGCCCUUAACCACUUGGGCUAUCCAAUCGUGCUCAAAUAUAUAAAUAGAUUAGUUACAUGUUUUAGUGAAAAAAUUUGUUUAACUCUUCGAAUCAUAUAAUACACAUAAAUUUCAUCAAUUUAAAUAAUCAAAAAUCACUUAAAUAUUAUAAAUCUGUAUUUAGGGAGGGCCAGUAAAUAUCUAUAUAUAUUAAUUGGUUCUUUACACUUUGACAUUUCAAUUUCUGGUUCGCUUACAUUCCACUUAUGACAACAUUUUUGUAUUUUUCCACUACUGCAUAUUUUUCUUCCAAAGAAUUAUUGCAGUUCCUAGUUAAAACAAAAUUUAUGACAGGGCAAGAUCAAUCUUAUCCGUGUCAUGUUGACAACGUUAACUGUGGAUUUGUUUUUCAUAUUUUCAACUUUUCGUUCUUCUAGGUGUUAUGUGUCUACAUUUAAAUACCAGAUGAUUUUCAGCUCGAGUGUUUGAUGGGAGAUAUUUUUCUAUCAAUUUAAUUCCUGUAUUGUUGGCUGAUUUGAAUGAUAAAUGGAAUACUUUUUCCGUCAAAAAAAAAUGAAAGAUGAUAAUAGAACGAUCAUAGAUUACAUUUUCAAAGAUACUCCCUCCGUCCCCCUGAGUAGUAUACAUUGGGGGACGGGGAUGCGGCACGGACUUUAAUGCUCCUGUAAAGUGUAGUUGUGUAAUUUAUUUUUAAAAUUUUCUUUUUCUGAAUUAAAGUUUGGAUGCUAUAUUUUUAUUCAGAAAAAGAAAAUCUCAAAAAUAAGUUAUGGAACUAUGUUUUAUAAGAGCAUUGAAAUGCGUGUCGAGCAGUUGAAAAGAAACGUAUACAAUUAAAUGGGACAGAGGGAGUAGACAAACCGUAUAAAGUUGACUUGUUCGGAUAUGAUUAAUGUAAAUUGUUUAAUUAUAAUUUAGUAAAAUGAUUUAACAAUCAUUCAUGCAUGGGAAAUUUAUUUAAAAUAAUCCAAUCAAUAAAAUAGAUUUAAAAAAAUGGAGAUAAGUUAGAUAUAAAUAUAUGUCAUUUUGAUUUUGGAUCUGCAUUCUAAUUUCUUGCAUGAUUUAUGGACAUUAGUUUAUUUUAAUUUCCUAACAAAAAAUAUAAAUGUAAAGUCUGAAUAAUUUUUUUAGAUAUUCAUUUUAUUUUCAUUUUUUUCAUUCAAAAUUCAUUUUUUUUUUGAAAUAAAUCAUAUUAAUAAAAUUCAUUUUUUAUUAAAUCAUAUUAUAUAUAUAGAAAAUUACAUAACAUAUCAUCCUUUCCUUUAUUAAUAUAAUUGAUGAGUAGUUUAUCAGAGUAAUCGAUGAUAAAAUUUCUAUUGAUAAGAAAGUGGUCAAGAUUUAAAGUUGGGGAGCAACUGUGUUGAUGUCAUGCUAGCUCUAUGAAGAAUCAACAUAUAUCAUUUUUUGUAAAAAAUAAAUUAUUAAAUUAUAUUAAUUAAAAAUAUUAAUAAAAUUAUUAUUGUCAUAUAUUUUUGCAUCAUUGAUUGAGUUUUGUAUCAAACAUUAAUAUUUCAUUACUUAAAUAGAGACGGAAAAAAUAAAAAAUAAAUGUAUCUCAUACUUCCAUUUCAUACCCACCUCCCCACUUGGGUAUCAAAAACAACUCAUACCAUGGAGGUUUAAGGCUGGGUUUCAGAUUUUGUUUUUCUUUAGACAAACCUCAUACAUUCCAUAAAUCCAUGAACCAAACGACUCCUAAAUAGAAUGAAUAUGUAUUAGAUUUUUAAUUAAAAUAAUUAGAAUGAAAUAAUGGAAGUAACGAAAAUUUUAAACUAUUUUACUGAUCACUAGCAAUUUAUACCAGUAAAUUUAAGAUUAGCAGAGAGAGAGGCUAUAGCUCAAUAUAUAUAUACGCAUAUUGUGAUAAUGCAUUUGCAGGUGCAGCACCUUUCUUUGACAAGAAACAAGUAGCAACACUUUCACAGCUCUUCAACAUGUCUCCCACAGAUUUUGCAUUGCUUAUAGUAAGCGCCGGAUCCUUGUGGUGGUUCAUCCUGCAGUGCCGAACCAUGGUUCGCCAACACGGCCGCAGACAACCACCCGGGCCAAUAGGUCUACCGGUCAUCGGUCACCUCCACAUGCUAGGAAAACUCCCUCACCGCAGCCUCUACAAGUUGUCACAAAAAUACGGUCCCAUAAUGUCGAUCCGCCUCGGAUCUGUUCCCACAAUUAUAGUGUCGUCGCCUUCGGCUGCCGAGCUCUUUCUCAGGACUCACGACACGGUUUUUGCGAGCCGGCCUAAUGCCCAGGCCGCCGAGUACUUAUCUUAUGGCAGCAAAGGAAUGGCAUUCUCGAAAUAUGGUUCGUACUGGCGCAGCGUGAGAAAGUUUUGCACAAUGGAGCUUCUUAGUGUCGCGAAAAUUGAUUCUAUGGCUAGGCUGAGAAGGGAGGAGCUGGGCUUGCUAGUGGAGUCCCUGAAAGUGGCAGCCAGGGCCGGUGAGGUGGUGGAUUUUAGCGAGAAGGUCGCGCGUCUGAUAGAAGACAUGACUUGUCGGAUGUUGUUUGGGAAGAGCAGAGAUGAUCGGUUUGAUUUGAGUAAGAUCAUACAUGAGCUGGCAGAGAUUGCUGGAGCCUUCAAUGUUGCAGAUUAUGUCCCAUUUUUAGGGGCAUUUGAUCUCCAGGUAUCAAUAACUGUAAAACUAUACUUUUCUAUUUAUCGACGGGGCCGUUUGGGUGAACUUAAAAAAAGUGUUUAUUGCUUAAAGUAAAAAAGUGAAGUAGAAGUUAGAAGCAAGUUAAGACUUAUAAGUGAUAAAAGUGUUUGGGAAAUAAGUAGAAGCCGUGAGACAAAAGCUAGUAUUCGUAGCUUUUUUUAAGUAAUUCUUGACUUUUUACACAAACGGUACAAAUAAGUGCUUCGAACUUAUAAUUCAGAAGCCGGGCUUAUAAGUCCGUGCCAAACACCCACUUAAUUAUCAGGGACCCUGAUCUUUAAAUCUUUAAUGUAAUUGUUGUUAUCAGGGAUUAACUCGACGCUCCAGAGUGACUGCUAAGGCAUUUGAUAAAAUCCUGGAAACGAUCAUCGAUGAUCAUGAAGAAAAAGCUAGAAAUGACGAUACAAAGCUUGAUAGGGAUUUUGUUGAUGUCAUGCUAGCUUUGAAGAACAAUCCUACAAGUACUCACCAGCAAUUAGCGGAGACCAUUGACCGAUCGAUCACCAAAGCAAUUAUCCUGGACAUGAUUUUCGGAGCCAUUGAUACCUCCCAAACUGCGAUUGAAUGGAUCAUGUCAGAACUCAUCCGACAUCCAAGCGUGAUGAAACGACUUCAAGAAGAAAUUAAUAUCAUAGUAAAUUGCGAAGUUGUGGAAGAAUCACAUCUGGAUAAACUUGAGUACCUAGACAUGGUGGUCAAGGAAGCCUUGAGACUCCAUCCGGUGGCACCACUGUUAGUUCCUCAUGAGUCAAUGGAGGACAUUGUGAUAGAUGGAUAUUACAUAGAGAAGAAUUCGCGUCUAAUUAUUAACAAUUGGGGCAUAGGACGAGAUCCUGGGAUUUGGUCGGAAAAUGUUGAAGAAUUCCUUCCUGAGAGAUUUGCGGGUACUGACAUAGAUCUCCGGGGGGAAAGUUUUCAACUUAUACCGUUUGGUUCAGGCCGGAGAGGUUGUCCGGGCAUGCACUUGGGCUUAAUAAACAUCAAAUUGGUGGUUGCUCAGUUGGUACACAGCUUUGAUUGGGAGCUACCUUUCGGCAUUUCACCGGACGAGUUAAAUAUGGAUGAAGCAUUCGGUUUGUCAUUGCCAAGGGCAGAGCAUCUCCUGGCCAUACCCAAAUUUAGGAAAAGUUGAAUGUGGAAUUCCACAUUCAUGGUGGUAUGUGAUUGUCCUGCGUAACUUUAAGCAAUAUUAGUAGCUACCCUUUCCUCAGAAGUUGUUGUAAUAAAUUGUUAUGCGUGAAAUGCAGUGUGUAAUCAACUUCAUACAUGACUGGUAUUGCCUUAUAUCCCGUACAAAAUUGACAAAAACAUGACAAUUAAAGAUUUCGUAAUCCUCAUCCUCCCGGAAAAUUCAUGGAAUCAACCUUAUAGAUGUCGUAGAAAUUCUGUUAUUCUUUUUCGGUGGUAGUCACACAGACGUAUAAAUCAAUACCCUUUAUUAAUAAGCGAAACCACAUUUCGGUGGAACAUCGGUACCAAAAGUACCAAAAUUUGGUCACUUUCACAUUGAUUAGGAUUUUAUAAUCAUUAUUAAAAUACUACAAAAGACUUCUAUAUUGAAUAGAAUUUUAUUAUUAAAGACUUUAAUAUUCAUUAGGACAAUGAAAGACUUAUGUAUUAAUUAAAAUUUUAUUAUUAAAGACUUCAAUAUUGAUUAGGACAAUGUUAUAUAAUUUUUUUAUUUAAUAACAAUAAUCAUUAUAGAAUUAUGAAAAAAAAUUCAUAUUGUUAGGAUUCUAUAGUUACUAUUAUAUAUUUUUAGGAUUUUAUAAUUGUUAUUAUACAAUUAUGGAAAGACUUCUAUAUUGAUUCGGAUUUUAUUAUUAAAAAUUUCAAUAUUAGUUAAGAUUUUAUAAUUAUUAUUUAAUUAUAUAAAAAGGCUUCUAUAGUGUUUAGGAUUUUAUAAUAUAACAUUUAUCCUAUCCGCACAGUUAAAUCGCUAACAAUUUAACUUAUAAAACAGUUCUAUAAAUUUUUAUAUCAAAAUCUGGCUAUCAUCAUAUUAUUUUUUAUUUAACAAUUAUCUCACUAUUAAAACAAUAUUAUCAACAAAAUUCUUUUUUUAGUUUUUUAAAACUCAAAUAAUUUAAUAUACGCAACAACUCUGUAAAUCUUUUAUCAUGCUUCAGAGUUCAAAUAAAUAAGGAGUUUAUAUUGAUAUUAAUAUAAUAUUCAUAUAUAGUUUUAUCAAUAAGCAGAAUCAAUAUCAUCAAAAUACUAAAUAUCAAAUUACCAAAAUUUGGUUAUUAUCAUAUAUUUUUAAAUAAUAAUUAUUAUUAUCAUAUAACUAUGAGAAUACUUUCAUGUAUGAUCAGAAUUUUUGUAAUAUAAUGAUUAUCACACCAACAAAAUGACAGUUAACAAAGCUACUAAUUUUAAAUUUUAAAACUCAAAUAAUUUAUUUUAUAAAAUAACUUUAAUUUGGUUAUCAUCAUAUAAUUUUUUUAUUUGGCUGUAAUAAUAAUAAUAAUUAUUAUCAUUCAGUGCUCUUCAGAAGAUUGCGAUAAAGACGAAUAAGGCGGUUGUAACACUGAAUUGACAAAUGGAAACUUAAAAAAAAUGAAGCCAUUGUUCAUAUUGCAGCAUAUAAUAAAAAAAUAGAAACACAUAUGUCAAAAUAUUUGAUAUCAAAUUAAUUUUGGAAAGUUAAUUAACUUUGUCAAACUACAAUAUUAGUUUAUCAAACAACUGCAACACCACGGUUAGAUCUGCAAAAACUCCAACUAGAAUUAUAUAUAAUGUUUGUCUAUUAAAUGAAUAAAAUAAUUGCGAAUUAAAAUUUUGAAUUUUUAUUCAAGAUUAAAGACGCUAUAAACGAACUUAUAUGUGUUGAUCUUGAAUAUUAUUUUCACAAUUUAAAAAUCAUCAAACAACAUAGUAAUUUUACUAAAAUAAAACAUAUUGUUAGAGUUAAGUUCCAUAAAAUCCGCAUUUAAGCCGUAAUAAGUACCAAUCAUAAUAUUUUAGUUUAGUCAUAAAUAAUAGACUUAACUGCAGGAGGAUCUCAACUAUUUUUUUCUGGCACAAAAGUGACCCAAAUAUAAAAUCGGAUAGUGUGAAGGCCUAACUAUUUUCUUUAAACACAUGAGUGUAUUCAAUUUAUGAUUUAAUUACAAUAUGAUGAUCGAACAAUGUUUUUUUAACACAAAAAUGGCCCAAAAAUAUAAAUAAACAAUAUUUUUUAGACUAAUUUAGACGGAAUGCAAUCAUCUGCUUAGAAAAAUAUCUGAGCCAUUUUUGUGAGAAAAAUAAAAGUUGAGGCCAUCUUCUUGCAAUUAAGUCUAAAUAAUAUUUUUAAUUAUUCAAAUUUUAUAUGUAAUUUAUCAUCAUUAAGUAGUUUUAAAUAUAAUUAUCAAUUAAUCAUUAACAUCUUUCAACAUUAACAAUCAUUAAGAUCAUUAUUCUACUUAUGAGUUACAUUUUAGAACAUAUAUAGUGUUUAGUGAUUUAUAAAAUAAUUGUUUUAUGUUUUGAUUGCAACGAUUAUAUUGUAGAACAUAAACUCCAAAUAUUUUUAAAUAAUUUUGGACUACGACACUUUUAAUUUAUGGACUCCAUUGAAUAGGAACUUAUAUUGUUAUGAAAUAAAUUUAAAAUAGGAUCAAAUUUUAAUAUAUAAAAUCUUAUAUUAAAUAACAAUAAUUCAAAUGUCAUUUAAAACAAUAAUUUAAAUAGGUAUAAUAAAAAUAUGAUAGCGUAAUUAAAAAAAGACAUUACUCUUCCAAUAAAUAAUAAAUUUUAAAAUUUUAGUCAAACCCGUGCUUGGCACGGGUUAUCAACUAGUAUUAUAUAAAUUAGUGUUAUAACGGUGCGCGGCACAGAGCUCUAAAUAUAGAUAUUAUGAUUGAGUUUUUACGGAAGUAGAUGCAAAUAUAGGAGUGGAAUAUUUAGAAGAAAAAAAUUCAAAAUAAUUUAUUAAACUAUAUUUUAUGAGAGUAUUAGAAUACGUGCCGACUCAUCCGAAGGUGCACAAGGAUGAAAGGUCUUUUCACGAUUGACAACCUUCUUUACUGUUUUUUUUUUUUUUUUUUAAAGUAGGAACCCGCAGCCGCUACCCUUCGGGUGCGCACUGGGUAAACCCACGAGCUCACGCAAUAGCCUGCAAACUACGUGAACCAAGGUAAACCGCACCUAAGCGCGACAGGCUCUGAUCCAGGAGGCAUAAUCACAAAUUCUGCUCCCUUCUUGACUGUUUGCCUUCACCUAAACAAGUUCUGAACGGAGUGCAAGUUUUUCGACCCCAAAACAAGUUCGACUAUUGUCAUUGUAAUUAUAUUUUAAAUUUCUUUUCUGUAGAAUAUAAAACUGAUUAUUAUUAAUUCUUGUUCCUCUAAAAAAAGAUUACAUCCAUAUUUAUAACAAACGUACUUGACUCCUAACAAUACUCUGCUACUUCUAAUAAAUCUCCUAAAAUAAGAUAGACUCAAUACCUCCUACAAACUCUCUAUAACUCCAACAAUCAUCCAACUACUACAAUCUAAAAUUAAUCCUCAAAAUAAAUAACUAAACAAAUAAUAAUAAUAAAUAAAUUUAAGAUUAUUCCAACAAUCACCCCCAUAAUCUUAAAUUUACUUAACAAAAUUUAUGAAGCACUUCUCUUCAUCUUGUGAUGCACUUCUCACCACCAUCAAUUUUGUUAAUGCACUUCUCAUUAACACCAAUUUGUUGAUGCACUUCUCAUCAACGCCAAAUUCAGUGGAGCACUUCUCUCCAAGUUCACAUAAUCACCCAUAAUUCUAAAGUUCUCUCCAGGUGCAUAUAAUCACCCAUAAUUCUAAAAAAUAUAAAAUUCUCCCUCUAUUCCGUCAUAAAAAACACAAGAUCCAUCUCGUUCUACAUGGCCUUCUAUCUCAUUUUCUGCCUUCAGCACCCUUCUCCGGCAUCGCCUCGUCUUUCUCGGCAGCCCCAUACUACACAUGCAUCCCAUACUACACAUGCAGCUUUACCACCAUCCUUCUGCAACGCCUACAUGAAACUAUCUCGUCAAACCCUCACUAUGUGCCUCCACCACUAGCUGCGGCUUCACCACCGCCUGGCGGCGGAACAACAAAACCUCGCUCGGAUACCAAGUGUAGAAUAUAAAACUGAUUAUUAUUAAUUCUUGUUCCUCUAAAAAAAGAUUACAUCCAUAUUUAUAACAAACGUACUUGACUCCUAACAAUACUCUGCUACUUCUAAUAAAUCUCCUAAAAUAAGAUAGACUCAAUACCUCCUACAAACUCUCUAUAACUCCAACAAUCAUCCAACUACUACAAUCUAAAAUUAAUCCUCAAAAUAAAUAACUAAACAAAUAAUAAUAAUAAAUAAAUUUAAGAUUAUUCCAACAUUUUCAUCAUUCUAAAUUUUGUAUAUGAAAGUCAAUUUCUAGUCUAAGUUUAGUACAUAGUUUUGUUAACGAGACCGAGUUCGCUGGUUUUAGUUUACUGUGCAAGUUAUGCAGCUGAGUCUUGUUUUUGGGUUUGUUUUGGUCGAGUCUGUAUGAGUUGAAUCUGUUUUGUCUGGCCGAGUUGGCGAGUGGUAUAUUGUUUUCGAGGCUUGCUAGUAAUCUGUUUGUUUGAUGAUUUGAUGAGUCUGCGGUUUUGUUUUCCUUUUCAACUUGUAUGUUUGAUUUAGUAAGUCGAGUAGGUGCUUGUGUUUUGAGGAUUGAGUCUUUGGUUUUCUAUAUCACUGGCGAGCCAUUCUGUUGUGUUUUGUUCGUCGGUCUUUGUUAAUUAUUUUGUUAAAUAAUUUGGAUGAUAAAUUUUGGGUAAUUAAAGUUAAUUAGAUUAUACACUCAAUUAGAUUUUAUAAUAACAAAAAUUAGUUUUUAAAACACUCAUCUUCACUAAACAAAUUAUUCUGAUUCGUCUAGAUUAGAAAUAAUAGAUUGCAAAAAUGAAAUAAAUAAUCUUUGUGGAACAAAUUCUUAAAUUAGUAAAACGACGAUCGUGCGCUUGUAAUUUUAAAAUCAAUUUUUUUUAGCACAUCAGCUAUAGCAUAUUUUUCUUCCUAAAAAAUUAUUGCAGUUCCUAUUUAAAACAAAAUUUAUGAAGGGCUAGAUCAAUUUUAUCGUUUUACUGUGACAUGUUGACAAAAUCAAUUGUUCACGUGUUUUUCAUAUUUUCAAUUUUUUGUUUUUCUAUAUGUGUGCAUUUACAUGCAACGGGAAUUAACGUGUCAAUUUUUCUAUGUGUGUGUAUUUAAAUGCCCGAUGGUGAUGGAACAACCAUAGAUUACAAUUUCAAAGAUAGACAAAUCGUAUAGAGUUGACUUAUAUUAUAUUAUAUGAUUUGGAUUUCACAAUCAUUCAUGCAUGGUAAAUUUAUUUAAAAUCAUCCAAUCAAUGAAUAAAUUAAAAAAUGGAGAUCAAAUUAGAUAAUUCUUAUGCAUGCGUUUAAAUGCCGGCUUCGGGGAAUGAGCGAUCAUAUGUAGUAUUUUCAAACAUAAAUAAAUUGUAUAAAUUGACUUCAUUUAAAUAUGAAUAUAAUUUAUUUUUUUGAGGUUUUGAUUUUUGACAUAUAUUUUUAAGUACUUUGAUAUGGUAUUUAGAAAUAUUAUUGUUAAAAUUUUCUAUUUCUGAAAAAAAAUAUACAAUCAAAAUUUUAAUUAAAACAAUAAUUUUAUUAUCCAAAAAUAUUAUUUCUUAAAAAAAAAUUCUAAGUAAAAAUAUGUAGUCAAACUUUUUUUUUUAUUAAAAAUUAUAUUUUUAAUUAUCCGAUCAAGUCACAUAAAAAUGUGUGUGAAAGAUAAAAAUAUGUCAUAUAAAAAAUUGAGGGACUAAUAUCUAUUAAUCUGAGCGUGUUUAACUCACGAUUUGGAUACCAACAAAUGAAAUGAUUGAUAUAUACUGCAUGAUAAAAGAAAAAUUGAAAUAAAUUAAGUUUGCAAAUAUAUUAUCAUGCAUGAUAUUAAAAAGGAAGAUCGAAUUUGAUAGUAAUAUAUGUUGUUUUAAUAUUAGAAUUUUAGAUAAAUAUUAUUUUUUACAGGUUUUAAGUUACAUAAACAUGUUAUUUAUUGUUCUUGUAAUUUUCUAAUAAAAAUAUAUAUUAUAAAUUUUAUGUAGAUAAAGAAAAGUUUAAACGAUACUCACUCUUUCUUUUUUCGCGGAUAAAACUCCUCCUUAUAUUGAAGUAUAUUAAAUAUACUCAGAAUCAUCGAAAAAGCGCGGUUUAAUUUUGGUUAAAAUCAUAUGAUUCGACUCUUUAAAUUUUAAGAUGAAAAAUAUCUUAAUAAAAUAAGUUAAAACCUAAUUUAAUUUUAGAAAUAAGUGACUUAAAAAUCAGUAAAAUAUAUUUUUCUGAAUAACAUAAUAUUUUAUUAUAAAAGUCUGUAUUAUCAUUCUAAAAGAAAUUAUCAAAGUUAUUUGAGAAUUUGCCAAAAAUACUAUAUUUUCUUAUUUUUUGAAAUUUACUAUCUUAUAAAAAUAUUUACGAAAAUACUGUCUUAAACUAAAAUAGUGACAUGCAACUUUUUUUAUAUACAAUUUGGAAUAAGAUGCAAUAUAAAGUAAACUUUCUCGAAAAAAAUUGAAAUCAUUUUUGAUUGUAAUGUAUGUUGAUAUUGGUUGCAUCUAAUUUCAUGUAGGUGGCACAUUAUAAAUUUUCAAAAAAUAAUAUUUUUGUAAAAAGAUUUAAAACAAUAAAAAUAUUUUAGUUUAAAAUUUUAAAAGACUUGAUAUAUUUUUCAAAAAUAAACAACUUUUAUUAUUAUAUUUUUAUCAACGAAAAAAUCAUCCAACAUAUAACAUUAUCAAAAUAAAAAGCCGUUCACUUAUUACAUUCACUUAAAGUAUAAAUUACUUAAUUUUCAAUAAGUCAGUCUGACUAAUGAGUAAAUUUUACUCUCUCCGUCCACCAAGUUCUUUACGUUAUUUUUUGUCACGCAUUUUUAUAAGGCUCUUAUAAAAUAUACUUACAUUAUAUAUUUAUUUAAAAAAAUUCUGAAAAAAAAUUUGACGUUAAACUUUUAUUUAAAAAAAAAAAUUAAAAAAAUAUUAUUAAACUAUACUUUAUAUAAGCAAACAUCCUGGUCUCGGGGAGUAGUUUUUAUCGGUGUAUAUAUACACGUGCAUUAUGCAUUUGCAAGUGUAGCACCUUUCUCUGACAAGAAACAAGAAGCAACACUUUCACAGCUCUUCAACAUGUCUCCCACAGAUUUUGCAUUACUUAUAGUAAGCGCCGGAGCCUUGUGGUGGUUCAUCCUGCAGUGCCGAACCAUGGUUUGUUAAGAUACAUGACCAGCAAGAGCAUGAAGAGAGUGACAGCUAGCAUGCACACGUCAGCAACAGUUUGUUACAAGUCGUUAUCAUACAGUUAGCUAGUAGCACUACUUGCACGACUUAGUUUUCUAUGCUACAUUGUCUAUAAAUACAUCUGCACUGUUAUUCAUUUCUAGUCAGUAAGAAAUAGAGGAAGAAUAGCUAUAGUUCAGUUUACAGUAUGUAGUCAUAUCCUAGCUUUAUACACAGUGUACAUGAGAGAUUGUUCAUGGCUGAUAUUCUGUAAACAGUUGAUUCUUGUUCUUAAUGGAAGAUUUCAGUAGUUUUUCAGUGAAUUGUAACAUGGUAUCAGAGCGUAUGGAUGAGAAUCGAUCCGAUCUUCCAUUGAUUGUUGUCAUCUAAAGUUUCAAGGUAUUUCUUGAUACUUCAUUGCUGUAGUUUCUUGCUUGUUUUGAUCGCAUUUUCUUGAACGCAUUUGAUCGAUUUCUUGAAGUUUUACAUCGAUUUGCUUGACUCUGUUCUUGACAUUUGUUCUUAUUGAUUCUUGUGAUUUCUUGUGUUGUGAAAUCGAUCGAGAUAUUGUGUUCUUUCUGGAAAUCAAGAUUUUGUUCUGAAUUACUUUCUUCUUACAAAUCUAUAUCAGUUCUGUUUUCUGAUAUACAAUGGCUACCAAUUUGAUUGCUGAUCCUUCUCAAAACCCUAGUUCUCCAUAUUAUAUACAUCCUUCUGAUAAUCCUGGAAUGAAAAUAGUUUCUAUUCAAUUUGAUGGAUCUGGUUACAGUGAUUGGAAACGUUCUAUUUUGAUUAGUUUAUCUGCGAAAAACAAAAUUGGUUUUGUGGAUGGUUCUAUUGAGAAACCACAGUUGGAUGAUGUUGUUACUUGUAAAGCUUGGGAUAGAUGUAAUAGCAUGAUGAUUUCUUGGUUGUUGGGUGUUCUUGAUCAAACUAUUGCUCGAAGUGUCUUGUAUUUCAAGACUGCAAGAGAAAUUUGGUUGAAUUUAGAGGAAAGAUAUGGCCAAUCUUCUGGCACAAUGUUGUAUGCUGUUCAACAGGAGAUGUAUAAUCUCAAACAAGGUCAAGAUUCUGUUUCUGCCUAUUAUACGAAAACUAAGAUGGUUUGGGAUCAGUUGGAUGCUAUAGAUCCUCUACCUAUGUCUGAUUGCACACACUGCACAAAUGAUGUGAUCCAGAAAUUGAUCAAAUCUCAAGAGGACAGAAGACUUGUUGAUUUUCUUAUGAAAUUAAAUGAAGGUUUUGAGAUAAUCAGAGGCAAUAUUUUGGUGAUGAAUCCUCUACCAUCUAUAUCACAUGUUUAUCGUUUGUUACUUCAAGAGGAAAGUCACAAGAAGCUUUAUCAGCCUAGUUCACAGUCUACUGAUGAGAUAAUGGCAUUUGCUGCCAACAGAUUUAGAAACAAUUUUAAGCAAGGUUUUGGUUCCACUGGCAAUAAUGAAUCAAAAGGAAAGUUCAAUCAAUAUUUCUGUGAUCAUUGUAAGACUCCAGGUCAUACUAUUCAAAGGUGUUACAAGAUACAUGGCUAUCCACCACACUUCAAGACAGACAAAGACAAAAGGAUGGCUGCCAAUGCUAAUUUGAUUCCUGGUGAUACCUCUGAUUUUAUUGAGAAUUCUGGACAGAAAGAUGAAGGGUUCACAGCAACUCAGUAUUCCCAGUUGUUGAAAUUGUUAGGAAAGGAAAAUUUCUUGAUGGAUGGUCCAAAGGCUGCAAAUGUAGCAGGUAAAUUUUGUCUUGCAUCUAUGACACAUUCUUGGAUUGUAGAUAGUGGGGCAACAGAUCACAUGUGCUCUGAAAUUUCCCUCUUUAGACAUUGCACAGAUGUCAUUGGCCCUGCCAAUUAUAUCACAAUUCCAAAUGGGAAACAAGUCUUGGUAACACAGAUGGGAGAUGUACAAAUUCAUGAUAAUUUGGUUUUGAAAGAUGUUCUUUAUGUUCCAGAUUUCAAGUUUAAUUUGGUAUCAAUACCAAAAAUCUGUAAGGACUUACAUUGCACAGUUUCUUUUACUGAUAAUCAAUGUUUUCUUCAGAGCAAAUCAAUGAGUCCACAGCUUCUUGGUGAAAUGAAAGGAGGUCUUUAUUAUCUGGCAGUUUCUGAACAUUUAAAGGAGAAGUCAGCAGAUUGUAUGGUGGCAACUACAAAAGCACAAGAUGAUCAGAACAAAAUUAAGCUGUGGCAUCUAAGAUUAGGGCAUAUUCCAGUUUCUAUGCUUCAUCAUGUGAAGAGUGUUUUCAAUAAGCCAUGUACUCUAGAUAAUAUCUGCCAAGUUUGUCCAGUUGCAAAGCAAGCUAGGAAGUCUUUUACUCACAGUUCUGUUAAGACUACAAAAGUGUUCUCUUUGCUUCAUAUGGAUAUAUGGGGACCUUACAAGGAACCUACUCAUAAUAAUUGCAGAUUUUUUCUUACCAUUGUGGAUGAUUUUACAAGAAUGACUUGGGUUUUUCUUAUGCAGUUUAAGUCUGAAGUAGUGAAUAUUUUUAAAGCUUUUGUGGCUCAUGUUGAGAAUAAAUAUACUGCACAUAUUCAGACUAUCAGAACAGAUAAUGGACAAGAAUUCUGUGGAGGAGCAAUGCAAGAAUAUUUUUUGCUCAAAGGGUUUGAGCAUCAAAAAUCCUGUGUUUACACCCCACAGCAGAAUGGAGUGGUUGAAAGGAAGCAUAGACACUUAUUGGAUACAGCAAGAGCUCUAUUUUUUCAAUCUAAAGUUCCUAUUCAAUUCUGGGGAGAGUGUGUGUUAGCUGCUACACAUAUUAUUAAUAGGAUGCCUCUCACAGUAUUGAACAACAUCAGUCCUUAUGAACAAUUUUUUCAGGAAUCACCAGAUUUAUCUACUAUGAAGGUAUUUGGAUGUUUGUGUUUUGUGUCAAAUCAUGAUCCACACAAAUCCAAAUUUGAUGCCAGAGCCAAUCCUCAUAUCUUUAUUGGCUACCCUGCAGGACAAAAGGGAUAUAAAGUUUUAGAUUUAAAAAGUUUACAAAUUAGUGUGUCCAGAGAUGUUACUUUUCAUGAGCAACACUUUCCUUAUCAUUUACAGUCAGAGAGUCAAGGACCACAGUUUAAAUUUUUUCUUCCUAUAACAACUGAGCAGACUGUAUUUGAUUUUUAUGAUAUACCUGAGGUAUUUUAUCAGAAUACUACAGAUGGCCACACUGAUUUUGCAGAAGAUCAUCCUUAUUCUACAGAUGCUUCUAGCUCUUCUGAAAGUUCAGGUCCUUCUUCUACUUCUUAUGAACCUGGUCCAUCUACUAGGAAAAGUACAAGAACUUCAAAGGCUCCAUCAUUCUUGCAAGAUUACAUAUGUAGUCACAGUCAGCUAAAUUUUAGAGAAAAUGAGCAUUGGUGCAAUCUGAUCUCUUCUUCCUAUUUGUCUCCAACUCAUCAUGCCUUCUUGGCACAUACUGAGUCCUUAAUAGAGCCCAAAAAUUAUGCAGAAGCUUGUAAGGAUGUUAGAUGGGUUGAAGCUAUGCAGAAGGAAUUAAAAGCUUUGCAAGACAAUCAUACUUGGGAUCUUGUUCCACUGCCUAAAGGGAAGAAAGCAAUAGGCUGCAGAUGGGUUUUUAAAAUCAAACUCAAGGCAGAUGGUUCUGUGGAAAGAUUCAAAGCUAGGCUAGUAGCUAAGGGUUACAAUCAACAAUGGGGAGUUGAUUAUCAAGAGACUUUUUCACCUGUCAUAAAGAUGACUACAGUAAGAUGUUUACUAGCUUUGGCUGCUCACAAACAUUGGAAACUUCACCAACUAGAUAUCAACAAUGCUUUCUUACAUGGUGAUUUGUUUGAAGAGGUGUAUAUGAUGGCUCCAGAAGGGUAUGACAAUCCUCAUAAUUUUGUUUGUCAGCUUGUCAAAUCUCUGUAUGGGUUAAAGCAAGCCUCAAGACAGUGGAAUGCUAAGUUACAAGCAGAACUGCAAUUAAGGGGGUACACACAGUCCAAAAAUGACUAUUCACUCUUCAUUAAGAGGAAUAGCUCACAUACAACUAUAAUUGCAGUUUAUGUGGAUGAUAUUAUUUUGACUGGUGAUGAUGAGACAGAAAUCCAGCUUAUCAAGGAUCAUCUUCAUGCUACUUUCAGCAUCAAAGAUUUAGGCCAACUCAGUUUCUUUCUGGGAAUAGAAAUAGGCUAUUUAGAUUCUGGAAUAUCAAUGUCACAGAAAAAGUUUACAAAGGAGUUGUUGAAAGAAGCCAAGAUAGAGAUUGGAAGUCACAAGUCAGUGGUCACACCACUUCCCAUUAAUCUGAAGUUGACAGCAGAAGAAGGUGAAGUGUUCUCUGAUCCAACUAUCUACAGAUCACUUGUGGGAAAACUUAAUUUUCUAACUCAUACAAGACCAGAUUUAUCAUACACUGUGCAGCACCUUAGUCAAUUCCUUCAAAGUCCAAAAGUUUCACACUAUCAGGCUUUACUACAUACUCUCAAUUAUGUAGCUUCUACAGCUGGACAAGGGAUUAUUCUCAAUGCAGAAGACAAAUUAACAUUACAGGCAUUUACAGAUUCAGACUGGGGAGCAUGUCAGGAUACAAGGAGGUCUGUUUCAGGCUACAUUAUGCUGUUAGGCAAAUCUCCAAUUAGUUGGAAAUCGAAGAAACAAGGAAUUGUCUCUAAAAGUUCUGCAGAAGCAGAGUAUAGAGCAAUGUCUGCAGCAGCAUCUGAAAUUACCUGGCUGGUUAGAUUACUUGAGGAAAUUGGUUUGGACAAAUUGCAUCCAGUGACACUUCAUUGUGAUAAUCAAAGCACAAUUCAUAUUGCAAAGAAUCCAGUACAGCACGAGCGUACCAAACACAUAGAAAUUGAUGUGCAUUUCACAAGAGACAAGGUACUUGAAGGACUCAUUCAGCUAGCCUACUUGCCCACUAAUGCUCAGCUUGCUGAUAUUUUUACAAAGAUUUUGCCCUCAGCACAUUUUCAAGAAUUACUGACCAAACUAGGAAUGGCAGAAUGCCACUCUAGUUUGAGGGGGGAUGUUAAGAUACAUGACCAGCAAGAGCAUGAAGAGAGUGACAGCUAGCAUGCACACGUCAGCAACAGUUUGUUACAAGUCGUUAUCAUACAGUUAGCUAGUAGCACUACUUGCACGACUUAGUUUUCUAUGCUACAUUGUCUAUAAAUACAUCUGCACUGUUAUUCAUUUCUAGUCAGUAAGAAAUAGAGGAAGAAUAGCUAUAGUUCAGUUUACAGUAUGUAGUCAUAUCCUAGCUUUAUACACAGUGUACAUGAGAGAUUGUUCAUGGCUGAUAUUCUGUAAACAGUUGAUUCUUGUUCUUAAUGGAAGAUUUCAGUAGUUUUUCAGUGAAUUGUAACAUGGUUCGACACCACGGCCGCAGGCAACCACCCGGGCCAACAGGUCUACCGGUCAUCGGUCACCUCCACAUGCUAGGAAAACUCCCUCACCGCAGCCUCUACAAGUUGUCACAAAAAUACGGUCCCAUAAUGUUGAUCCGCCUCGGAUCUGUUCCCACAAUUAUAGUGUCCUCGCCAUCGGCUGCUGAGCUCUUUCUCAGGACUCACGACACGGUUUUCGCUAGCAGGCCUAAUUCCCAGGCCUAUGGCAGCAAAGGGAUGGCAUUCGCGAAGUAUGGUUCGUACUGGCGCAGCGUGAGAAAGUUUUGCACAAUGGAGCUUCUUAGUGUGGCGAAAAUUGAUUCGAUGGCCAGGCUGAGAAGGGAGGAGCUGGGCUUGCUGGUGCAGUCCCUCAAAGUUGCGGCCAGGACGCGUGAGGUUGUCGAUUUUAGCGAGAAGGUGGCGCGUCUGAUAGAAGACAUGACUUGCCGAAUGUUGUUUGGGAAGAGCAGAGAUGAGCGGUUUGACUUGAGUAAGAUCAUACAUGAGCUGGCAGAGAUUGCUGGAGCCUUCAAUGUUGCGGAUUAUGUCCCAUUUUUAGGGGCAUUUGAUCUCCAGGUAUCAAUAACUGUAAAACUAUACUUUUCUAUUUAUCGACGGGUACUUAGGGGCGGUCUGGGUGAGCUUAAAAUAAGUGUUUAUUGCUUAGAGUAAAAAAGUGAAGUAGAAGUUAGAAGCAAGUUAAAACUUAUAAGUGAUAAAAGUGUUUGGGAAAUAAGUAGAAGCCAAGUAAUCGUAGGUUUUUUUAAGUACUUCUUGACUUUUUACACAAACGGUACAAAUAAGUGCUUCUAAAUUAUAAUUCAGAAGCCGGGCUUAUAAGUCUUUGCCAAACACCCACUUAAUUAUCAGAGACCCUGAUCUUUAAAUCUUUAAUGUAAUUGUUGUUAUCAGGGAUUAACUCGACGUUCCAGAGUUACUGCUAAGGCAUUUGAUAAAAUCCUGGAAACGAUCAUCGAUGAUCAUGAAGAAAAAGCUAGAAAUGACGAUACAAAGAUUGAUAGGGAUUUUGUUGAUGUCAUGCUAGCUUUGAAGAACAAUCCUACAGGUACUCACCAGCAAUUAGCGGAGACCAUUGACCGAUCAAUCACCAAAGCAAUUAUCCUGGACAUGAUUUUCGGAGCCAUCGAUACCUCCCAAACUGCGAUUGAAUGGAUCAUGUCAGAACUCAUCCGACAUCCAAGAGUGAUGAAACGACUUCAAGAAGAAAUUAGUAUCGUAGUAGAUUGCGAACUUGUGGAAGAAUCACAUCUGGAAAAACUUGAUUACCUAGACAUGGUGGUCAAGGAAACCUUCAGACUCCAUCCAAGAAGUUAGAAGCAAGUUAAAACUUAUAAGUGAUAAAAGUGUUUGGGAAAUAAGUAGAAGCCAAGUAAUCGUAGGUUUUUUUAAGUACUUCUUGACUUUUUACACAAACGGUACAAAUAAGUGCUUCUAAAUUAUAAUUCAGAAGCCGGGCUUAUAAGUCUUUGCCAAACACCCACUUAAUUAUCAGAGACCCUGAUCUUUAAAUCUUUAAUGUAAUUGUUGUUAUCAGGGAUUAACUCGACGUUCCAGAGUUACUGCUAAGGCAUUUGAUAAAAUCCUGGAAACGAUCAUCGAUGAUCAUGAAGAAAAAGCUAGAAAUGACGAUACAAAGCUUGAUAGGGAUUUUGUUGAUGUCAUGCUAGCUUUGAAGAACAAUCCUACAGGUACUCACCAGCAAUUAGCGGAGACCAUUGACCGAUCAAUCACCAAAGCAAUUAUCCUGGACAUGAUUUUCGGAGCCAUCGAUACCUCCCAAACUGCGAUUGAAUGGAUCAUGUCAGAACUCAUCCGACAUCCAAGAGUGAUGAAACGACUUCAAGAAGAAAUUAGUAUCGUAGUAGAUUGCGAACUUGUGGAAGAAUCACAUCUGGAAAAACUUGAUUACCUAGACAUGGUGGUCAAGGAAACCUUCAGACUCCAUCCAGUGGCACCACUGUUAGUUCCUCAUGAGUCAAUGGAGGACAUUGUGAUAGAUGGAUAUUACAUAGAGAAGAAUUCGCGUCUAAUUAUUAACAAUUGGGGAAU
RNAcentral lists this long non-coding RNA (19293 nucleotides) under Daucus carota (carrot). RNAcentral's name for it is "long non-coding RNA (DCAR_LNC004637)". The record is from RNAcentral. Lineage: Eukaryota; Viridiplantae; Streptophyta; Magnoliopsida; Apiales; Apiaceae.